AUGGGCGUGGCCGCCUGCAAGAUGUCAUCGCAGCAAGGACCCAUACUGUGGUCACCACCACCCCUGGCGUUGGUGGCGCUGUCAUCGUGACCCAGCACACUGGCCCCCCACAACAGGGCUAUGCAAUGCAGGGGGACUACCCACCCCAGCAGGGCUAUGCCCCCCAACAGGGCUACGCCCCCCUGGGCUACAGCCCCCAGCAGGGCUAUGCCCCCCAGCAGGGCUAUCCUGCCCAGGAGCCAAUCCCUCCAAAGGUUUAGGCGUGUGUUAAGCUGUCAUCUUUAAUACUGAGGAUUUAAAUUUCUAAUAAGGAAAAGUGGCAGUUUCUAUCUUUGUCUCCUUCUCCAGGCAAAGCAGACUGUGGUAUCAAGGCAAAGUACAUCUUAAAAUAGAUUGUGUUUGUAGAGGAUGGUUCGUGGUUUUUUUUUCAAACGAGAGUAUAUUACGUAUAUUUUGGUAUAUUCAUCGGCUCUUUUUUUCCUGUGUACAAUAAGCUAUGCUUCCAAACUGAUACAAUUUGGUGAUUUAGAUGGUGUUUUCUUAAAAAAAAGUUAUUAUGUAUUCGGAAACACUCACUUUUGUGGCACAAAAGUCUUUGCAGAAAUGCCGAACCAUUCUGACAGAUAAAAGGUAUUUCCCUUUACAUCUUAAGACAAUACGGUCACUUUAAGCCUUAUUUCAGUCCAUUUUUCGCAAAAUAUACAUAAUCACGAGCUAAAUAAUUAAAAGUCGAUAGCGUUAGAAUUUUUGACCGGUGUCACUUUCAACCUAUGGUACUGGACCAGCCGCCAAUACCAUAAUGGGGGGCCUGACUGUGUCUGGAUUAGCCUUUGUAGGCCGACACCUUCUGUUCAGUAUUUUAACGUUUGUUUAGUCAUUUUUAAGCGAAUUUUUCCGAAACAUGUUUUCUUAGUAAACGGUUGAAUUACUACUUGCACGAUUCAAUUCUUUCUUACCUUUGGCCUUGCAGCUGUUGCAGGGAAUGGUGGGUUUUGCGCCUAUUCCAUCAUAAAAAUACUGGACUGUAUCACGUACCAUAGAGAUGACAGAGAAACAAAUGUAUUAUUUUUCUCAACUCUGACCGAUUCAGAAAUUGAGAGACGCAUGUGCUUUGUUCAGUCAGCAAAAUUGAAGGCCAUUGGGACAAAGUCCCUCAUACUAUUUGUCAUUAUAUAAUGCCGCAGUCGAUAGCCUGUAAGACAAUCACAAGAGCAGCACAUGAUCUCUGAUAUUCAUUGGAGCAGCAAACCUUUCAUAACAACAGCAUUCCUUUGUCACUGUUGACUCUGUGACGCGUGGCUGGGCGUCUUGUGACUUGUCUUGCGGCGGGAUUUUUUUUCUGGCUUGCGAUGGCUUUGACUGGAACAUUGUUACAUGCGUUGAUCAGCACUGAUCGUAACAAAACAUGCACAGGAAAGCAUUCUAUCGACACAGACAGGCUCACCAAGAAAAACACAAAAANUCAAGGCCAAACUCAGCAACUGAAACACUGCGGCUAAAUUUAACAACUGUCUCCACUACCGGGGGUGGUAAAUUUAAACCAAAGUGUUCAAACUCCAAAGUAGAAAAACUAGACAAGUGCUAACCGUUAAAACCCUAAAAUAAUUUUGAUCGUUCUAGCAAGUUAAUUUUGUUGCCAACGCAGCUCGUCCUUGUUAAGCCUUUUCCAGUUGUACUCAGUGCAUACUCAGAUGUAAAUUGCGCAUUUGGAAUGCAAUCUUAAUAAUACGUUACUCAGAAGACAUCGUUUAAGUACAUGUAAGCACCUAUAUGCAUUUAAGUAUAUGUAAUCUGUUCGCAGCUGUAGUCAGCCCGUAACUUAAGGUAGUUUGCUAAACUUAAAACUGUUCACUUAAGUGAGCAAGAUGGUUUGUACAAUUAAGUUCAACUCCUACAGUACUGAUUUUUUUACUUGAUCCAACAUGUAUUUUUCACUGAGUAUGGUAAAAGCCUUGCCUUUAAUCUUGCUAUUAUUUUUUUUACAAAGUAACUUUCGCAUGGAAGUGCAUAUAACUGGACGCUGACAAUGGCUUUUCACUUUUUCUACCGUUUUUCAACUGGUUUUUUAAUUUUUACUAAGUUUGUAACUAGAUCAGCCACUAUAAACAUUUAAAGAGAGUAGUUAUUGCCAGUAGGCCUACAUGGUUGCUUGCUUCUUUAUUGUUGUGACUGUGCAUUUAUUUUGUGGGGCAUAAAUUGGGUGAAGCCUAAUUCAUCAUUGAAUUUCUUCCAUGAUGCUGGCGACAUUUAAGAAUCGUGCACUGAAUUUCAUAUUUCCUUAGCACUCCGUCUCGGGCAUUAAAUUUGUCUGCCAAGCAAUUGA
Molecule: long non-coding RNA, 2323 nt
Organism: Acanthaster planci (crown-of-thorns starfish)
Lineage: Eukaryota; Metazoa; Echinodermata; Asteroidea; Valvatida; Acanthasteridae
Source: RefSeq, a predicted model, not a curated record